RNAcentral lists this ribosomal RNA (472 nucleotides) under uncultured bacterium. Its description in RNAcentral is "SSU rRNA". It matches the Rfam family "Bacterial small subunit ribosomal RNA", at positions 26 to 518 of the family's 1533-position model. The record is from RNAcentral.
AGGACGAACGCUGGCGGCGUGCUUAACACAUGCAAGUCGAGCGGAAAGGCCCUUCGGGGUACUCGAGCGGCGAACGGGUGAGUAACACGUGAGCAACCUGCCCUUAGCUUCGGGAUAGCUCCGGGAAACCGGAAUUAAUACCGGAUAUGACUAUGGCCGACAUCAGCCAUGGUGGAAAGUUUUUCGGCUAGGGAUGGACUCGCGGCCUAUCAGCUAGUUGGUGAGGUAACGGCUCACCAAGGCGACGACGGGUAGCCGGCCUGAGAGGGCGACCGGCCACACUGGGACUGAGACACGGCCCAGACUCCUACGGGAGGCAGCAGUGGGGAAUAUUGCGCAAUGGGCGAAAGCCUGACGCAGCGACGCCGCGUGGGGAUGAAUGCCUUCGGGUUGUAACCCCUUUCAGCAGGGACGAAGCGAAAGUGACGGUACCUGCAGAAGAAGCGCCGGCUAACUACGCGCCAGCAGCCGC